Molecule: long non-coding RNA, 3218 nt
Filed under: Citrus maxima (pomelo)
Lineage: Eukaryota; Viridiplantae; Streptophyta; Magnoliopsida; Sapindales; Rutaceae
Description: long non-coding RNA (CMAX_LNC000892)
Source: RNAcentral
UCUUCACUAGGUUUACGGUCUUCUGCCCAUUGAAAGUUCUUACACCCUCUACAAAUCCAAAAUUUGCGAUUUAGAUUCUUUGUUGUAUGUGACGUUAACAAUUCCAUCUGAUCACUGCAUCGGUUACAUAUUAGCGAUGAGCUUUGAUUCUCACUUGUGUUGGAUGACAAUGUCUAUGAUUAAUAAACUGUUGGGAAGACACAGCCCAAAAAAAAUAGACAACCUGAUAAAAAAAAAAAAAACCAAAACUACCAAGUAAAACUAUCUAAUCCACGAAGUACUGUAAACAACUGCUAAUCAUACUUCAGUAACUCUACUGAUAUUGGAAAACACUGCAAGAAAGAAUGAAUUCUAAUAACAGAAUCAAUGGCAGGCUAAAUCAAUGGCAGGCUUAAUUAAGUGUCACAAGAUAAGUAUCAAUAAAGACCAUUUUUCUAGUAGUGUAAGUUAUUGCAAACUUAUAUAUUUUAUUAAAGAUUAGUGGAUGCAUGAACUAUUUCUUAAGAUAUCAUAUCGAACAUGGAAGAGUAUCGUAUAAAACACACAGAUAGAAGCUUUAGUUAGCCGUUGCUUGCCAAAUCUAGAAGCAAGCGAUAAAUUAGGCUCGUUAACCUUCAACAUUGUUAAGCUGAUUCAUCCCCUAAAAUUUUGAACAUAUCAAUUUAUCUCUACUUACCGUCUAAAGAUGAGGAUAAUGGGGAGCGUGCGUUGACUUCUUUUUUUUUCUUUUUUACGGUAAAUAAAAAUAAAUUGAUAUUAUCUAACUUUGAGAGGUAAAUUAAAAGAUUAUCAUUUUAGAUGGUGAUAAAUCAAAAUUUACCCUAGAAAAAAAAAUAUAUAUAUAGUAGUUUUCUGGUCAAGAAUUUUAAAGUGCAGGAAAGUCCGAGAAAACUUUAAAACCACACAGCUUUAAAGGCUUAUAAUUUAAGCCUUUAAAACCAUGCGUUUUAAAGGUUUCCCGCACUUUCUCGCACUUUAAAAUUCCGGACUGGAAUAUUUCUCUCUCUCUCUCUCUCUCUCUGUCUAUAUAUAUAUAUAUAACCACACAGCUUUAAAGGCUUACAGUUUAAGCCUUUAAAACCAUGCGUUUUAAAGGUUUUCCGCACUUUCUCGCACUUUAAAAUUCCGGAUUGGAAUAUUUCUCUCUCUCUCUCUCUAUAUAUAUAUAUAUACACACACACACACAUGAAACUUGAAAAAGACAAAAUAUAGGUACGUGUUGACUGAAAUACCUUGUCUAUAUAUAUAUAUAUAUAGGGUCCGUCUACGUUACAUGUAGUGUAACGUACACUCAGCUUGUGAAAUUUCAUCUAGCCCCUUAUACUUUCUGUUAUUUAUAUUUUAUUCAUAAAUAUUAUAAAUUUUUUGAAAUGUACAAUUUCGUUUAACCCCUUAUACACUCAAUUUUAUUUUAUUAAAACCCUAGAGUAUGAAUUCACCCCUAUAAUAUUAAAUUCUCAAAAUAACCUUUAUUUAAUUAAAAAUAUAAUUAUUGUUAAAUGAAUUAUAAUUAUAAUUAUUAUUUUAUUAUAAUCAUAAAUAUUUUUUUAAUAGAUUAUUGUUAUUAUUAAUAACAAGAAUAAAAAGCAUUAUAAUUAAUCUAUUAACAAUAAUUAAUAAUAUUUUUUUAUUAAAUUGUUAAUAAUAAUAAUAAUAAUAAUCAAUGAUAAUUAAUAUAUUUAUGAUUAUAAUAAAAUAUGAAAGGAGAGCGGAGACUUUUAUUUUGAAUAAACUAGUUCCGAUUAACAUAUUUAUGAUUAUAAUAAUAUUUUUUGAGUUGUUUGGGCAAGGGGGUCUCAUGCGUGUGUGGACUUUUAGGCUGCCAGGAGAGCGGAGGCUGGAAAAAUACCUUGCGUUUAGAUAGUGACUUGUGUGUGAGUAAUAACAAUUUUUAUUAUAAAAAUAAGUUUUAUACCAAAUAUUAAAAAAAAUCUAGAUAAUCAUUAAUUAUUAUUAUUAUUAACAAUUUAAUAAAAAAUAUUAUUAAUUAUUGUUAAUAGAUUAAUUAAUUAUAAUACUUUUUAUUCUUGUUAUUAAUAAUAACAAUAAUCUAUUAAAAAAAUAUUUAUGAUUAUAAUAAAAUAAUAAUUAUAAUUAUAAUUCAUUUAAAAAUAAUUAUAUUUUUUAAUUAAAUAGAGGUUAUUUUGAGAAUUUAAUAUUAUAGGGGCGAAUUCAUACUCUAGGGUUUUAAUAAAAUAAAAUUGAGUGUAUAAGGGGUUAAACGAAAUUGUACAUUUCAAAAAAUUUAUAAUAUUUAUGAAUAAAAUAUAAAUAACAGAAAGUAUAAGGGGUUAGAUGAAAUUUCACAAGCUGAGUGUACGUUACACUACAUGUAACGUAGACGGACCCAUAUAUAUAUAUACAUGAAACUUGAAAAAGGCAAAAUAUGGGUACGUGUUGACUGAAAUACCUUGUCUAUUUCAAUAAUUGGCAAUUAAUUUUGGCCAAGCAUAAAAAUAUUCCUCAUUAAUUCAAACCGGAUCGGGUUUCUAAUUUCAACCCGUUUGAAUUUCAACAAAAUGAAGCUUUAAUCACAAAUCAAUUUAUAAUUAGUAUGUAAUUUACUUGUAAAGGGCUGAAGUUACCACCAACUGAAGAGCUGCGGUCGACGAUUCCGGGAGCUGCAAGAACUGGGAGGUGUUACGGUGGCCGGUGGGGGCUGCGACGCCGAUGAAGAUUGCUGUCGUGCUGAGGCUGAUUCACUGACAGGCAGAUGGGAGAGAUGACCGAUUGUAUUGUGGGGACUUGGUACGCCUGAUGGGCUAAGGCUGAUUCAUUGGCGGCACAUGUGGCGGCAGUCGGCAGUUGAAAGAGUUUUAAGUCUUUGAGGGUUUCUUAAUUUUGAAUUUGGGAUCAGGUUCGGGCAGAUUUAGGUUUUUAGAAAUUUUAGUAAUAAUUUUUUUGAAUUUUUUAUUUUAACCGGUUCGGAUUUGCUAUUCGAUUCGGGUUGCUAAUUUCAGCCUGUUCAAUUUUCAAGAUCGAUUCGAAGUGAACUGAAAGCGUAACAUAAAUUCGUCUUCACUAAUUAGGAGUGCGCAGGGUUCAGCUCGGUUCGGUCCAGUCUGAUUUAGAUCAAAAUUAUACAGAACCGAUUAAAAUCUAUUAUUUUAUAAAAAAAACAAAAUAGAAAUCUAUUAUUAAAACAACAAUUAAUUUCUGUUUGAGCUCAUCAAUAUGGCCCGGUUUGAAACUUGUUAUUCCUAAACUUUUCCAAAGCU